AGAGUUUGAUCAUGGCUCAGAACGAACGCUGGCGGCAGGCCUUAUACAUGCAAGUCGAGCGCAUCCUUCGGGAUGAGCGGCGGACGGGUGAGUAACGCGUGGGAAUGUGCCCUUCUCUACGGAAUAGCCACUGGAAACGGUGAGUAAUACCGUAUACGCCCUAAGGGGGAAAGAUUUAUCGGAGAAGGAUCAGCCCGCGUUAGAUUAGGUAGUUGGUGGGGUAACGGCCUACCAAGCCUACGAUCUAUAGCUGGUUUUAGAGGAUGAUCAGCCACACUGGGACUGAGACACGGCCCAGACUCCUACGGGAGGCAGCAGUAGGGAAUCUUGGACAAUGGGGGCAACCCUGAUCCAGCCAUGCCGCGUGAGUGAAGAAGGCCCUAGGGUCGUAAAGCUCUUUCGCCUGUGAUGAUAAUGACAGUAGCAGGUAAAGAAACCCCGGCUAACUCCGUGCCAGCAGCCGCGGUAAUA
Molecule: ribosomal RNA, 471 nt
Filed under: uncultured bacterium
Lineage: Bacteria
Description: bacterial SSU rRNA
Rfam family: Bacterial small subunit ribosomal RNA
Source: RNAcentral